GCGGGUAUAGUUCAGUGGCAGAGAACUUGUCUGGCAUGUACAAAGCCCUUGGUUCAAUCCCCAGUACCCCCA
RNAcentral lists this transfer RNA (72 nucleotides) under Heterocephalus glaber (naked mole-rat). It matches the Rfam family "tRNA". From Rfam's summary of the family: Transfer RNA (tRNA) molecules are approximately 80 nucleotides in length. Their secondary structure includes four short double-helical elements and three loops (D, anti-codon, and T loops). Further hydrogen bonds mediate the characteristic L-shaped molecular structure. tRNAs have two regions of fundamental functional importance: the anti-codon, which is responsible for specific mRNA codon recognition, and the 3' end, to which the tRNAs corresponding amino acid is attached (by aminoacyl-tRNA synthetases). tRNAs cope with the degeneracy of the genetic code in two manners: having more than one tRNA (with a specific anti-codon) for a particular amino acid; and 'wobble' base-pairing, i.e. permitting non-standard base-pairing at the 3rd anti-codon position. The record is from Rfam by way of RNAcentral. Lineage: Eukaryota; Metazoa; Chordata; Mammalia; Rodentia; Bathyergidae.